UACGAAGGGGGCUAGCGUUGCUCGGAAUCACUGGGCGUAAAGGGUGCGUAGGCGGGUUUUUAAGUCAGGGGUGAAAUCCUGGAGCUCAACUCCAGAACUGCCUUUGAUACUGAAGAUCUUGAGUCCGGGAGAGGUGAGUGGAACUGCGAGUGUAGAGGUGAAAUUCGUAGAUAUUCGCAAGAACACCAGUGGCGAAGGCGGCUCACUGGCCGGGUACUGACGCUGAGGCACGAAAGCGUGGGGAGAAAACAGG
This 253-nucleotide ribosomal RNA is filed under the name uncultured bacterium. Its description in RNAcentral is "partial 16S ribosomal RNA". It matches the Rfam family "Bacterial small subunit ribosomal RNA", at positions 524 to 776 of the family's 1533-position model. The record is from RNAcentral.